This 301-nucleotide ribosomal RNA is filed under the name uncultured bacterium. RNAcentral describes it as "partial 16S ribosomal RNA". It matches the Rfam family "Bacterial small subunit ribosomal RNA", at positions 509 to 807 of the family's 1533-position model. The record is from RNAcentral.
CAGUAGCCGCGGUAAUACGGAGGGUGCAAGCGUUAAUCGGAAUUACUGGGCGUAAAGCGCACGCAGGCGGUUUGUUAAGUCAGAUGUGAAAUCCCCGAGCUUAACUUGAGAACUGCAUUUGAAACUGGCAAGCUAGAGUCUUGUAGAGGGGGGUAGAAUUCCAGGUGUAGCGGUGGAAUGCGUAGAGAUCUGGGGGAAUACCGGUGGCGAAGGCGGCCCCCUGGACAAAGACUGACGCUCAGGUGCGAAAGCGUGGGGAGCAAACAGGAUUAGAUACCCCUGUAGUCCCUGUCUCUUAUAC